GGAUAACCUGCCCUUGGGUCCGGCAUAACUCCGGGAAACUGGGGAUAAUUCCGGAUAACGCACAUAUGCUGGAAUGCUUUAUGCGUAAAAUGGAUUCGUCUGCCCAAGGAUGGGUCUGCGGCCUAUCAGGUAGUAGUGGGUGUAAUGUACCUACUAGCCUACAACGGGUACGGGUUGUGAGAGCAAGAGCCCGGAGAUGGAUUCUGAGACAUGAAUCCAGGCCCUACGGGGCGCAGCAGGCGCGAAAACUUUACAAUGCGGGAAACCGUGAUAAGGGGACACCGAGUGCCAGCAUCAUAUGCUGGCUGUCCAGAUGUGUAAAAUACAUCUGUUAGCAAGGGCCGGGCAAGACCGGUGCCAGCCGCCGCGGUAACACCGGCGGCCCGAGUGGUGAUCGUGGUUAUUGGGUCUAAAGGGUCCGUAGCCGGUUUGGUCAGUCCUCCGGGAAAUCUGAUGGCUCAACCAUUAGGCUUUCGGGGGAUACUGCCAGGCUUGGAACCGGGAGAGGUAAGAGGUACUACAGGGGUAGGAGUGAAAUCUUGUAAUCCCUGUGGGACCACCUGUGGCGAAGGCGUCUUACCAGAACGGGUUCGACGGUGAGGGACGAAAGCUGGGGGCACGAACCGGAUUAGAUACCCGGGUAGUCCCAGCCGUAAACGAUGCUCGCUAGGUGUCAGGCAUGGCGCGACCGUGUCUGGUGCCGCAGGGAAGCCGUGAAGCGAGCCACCUGGGAAGUACGGCCGCAAGGCUGAAACUUAA
Molecule: ribosomal RNA, 759 nt
Filed under: uncultured archaeon
Lineage: Archaea
Description: bacterial SSU rRNA
Rfam family: Archaeal small subunit ribosomal RNA
Source: RNAcentral